AACGAACGCUGGCGGCAGGCUUAACACAUGCAAGUCGAGCGCGUAGCAAUACGAGCGGCAGACGGGUGAGUAACGCGUGGGAAUCUACCCAUCCCUACGGAAUAACGCAUGGAAACGUGUGCUAAUACCGUAUACGCCCUUAGGGGGAAAGAUUUAUCGGGGAUGGAUGAGCCCGCGUUGGAUUAGCUAGUUGGUGGGGUAAAGGCCUACCAAGGCGACGAUCCAUAGCUGGUCUGAGAGGAUGAUCAGCCACAUUGGGACUGAGACACGGCCCAAACUCCUACGGGAGGCAGCAGUGGGGAAUAUUGGACAAUGGGCGCAAGCCUGAUCCAGCCAUGCCGCGUGAGUGAUGAAGGCCUUAGGGUUGUAAAGCUCUUUCACCGGUGAAGAUAAUGACGGUAACCGGAGAAGAAGCCCCGGCUAACUUCGUG
Molecule: ribosomal RNA, 431 nt
Filed under: uncultured bacterium 'eubacterium sp.'
Lineage: Bacteria
Also listed under: 1 other name
Description: bacterial SSU rRNA
Rfam family: Bacterial small subunit ribosomal RNA
Source: RNAcentral